AGCCCAUUACUUGGCUGAUACAUCAGGUGAAUGUCUCCUUUCUUCCAACACAGUUAUAUGCUUUCUUUUGGGAGUUGCCCACUCUGUUAAAAGAGUAUGGAAUUUCCAGACAAAGAAGGAUCGUUUGGUCAUGGGCACAAGAGUAGCUUUACUCCUCUGCUAGACUUCCACACAAGCUCUCAAGAUCCAUUUGUAUUCCACCUGAUGUUCAAAUUCAGGCUCAGUCAUUGACUAUCUUUAUGAGGUUGACCAAGUUACUUU
This 261-nucleotide small nuclear RNA is filed under the name Canis lupus dingo (dingo). RNAcentral describes it as "7SK RNA". It matches the Rfam family "7SK RNA", at positions 49 to 331 of the family's 331-position model. From Rfam's summary of the family: 7SK was discovered as an abundant small nuclear RNA in the mid-70s but a possible function has only recently been suggested. Two independent studies have found that 7SK RNA binds the CDK9/cyclin T complex (known as elongation factor P-TEFb). The record is from Rfam by way of RNAcentral. Lineage: Eukaryota; Metazoa; Chordata; Mammalia; Carnivora; Canidae.